AACACACAAAAACAAUCCAAAAGGAAAAAACCAGAAACACCAUCUACAGGUAAAGAACAGGGUGGAGGCAGUGCUGAUGGAAGAGCAUAUACAAAGACAUAAAUGACAGUCUUGUGAUAAUCAGCAUAAUUUCACCUCCUGAAUUUGAAUGAAUUAUGGGACAUAACCAAGAUCAGACUGUAGACAUCUAAGAUUGAAGGCCAUGGCCUGGAUCCUAAAGAACUCACCAGGGCAAAUAAACCCUGUGAGAUGGUCCUGCAGCAGCCAAUCAAUGCUCUUUUGUGCCACCCAGUCCCUGCUGUGUAACUUUGAGUUUCUAUAAAUCCAUUAAGGUCCCAAUAAAUUUUGUGUCUCAUUGCUCUCUUAGUUCUAUAUGACUACUAGCUAAUAAACUGAAUUUUUAGUAAAUGUUUUGUAAUAACUCCAAAUACAAAAUACUACUAAAAUUGGUGUCAAAAUAUAACUUUUUUUCCUACAAA
This is a long non-coding RNA of Herpailurus yagouaroundi (jaguarundi), 479 nucleotides long. RefSeq lists it as uncharacterized. The record is from RefSeq and is a predicted model, not a curated record. NCBI's taxonomy places the organism in Eukaryota, Metazoa, Chordata, Mammalia, Carnivora, Felidae. The transcript has 2 exons.